This 468-nucleotide ribosomal RNA is filed under the name uncultured bacterium. RNAcentral describes it as "partial 16S ribosomal RNA". It matches the Rfam family "Bacterial small subunit ribosomal RNA", at positions 28 to 507 of the family's 1533-position model. The record is from RNAcentral.
GACGAACGCUGGCGGCGUGCUUAACACAUGCAAGUCGAACGGAAAGGCCUUGUUUCUGUUGGGUGCUGCAGUGGCGCACGGGUCGAAAACACGAGUGUCACCUGCCCUUUCCUCUCGGAUAACUUCAGGAAACUGGGGCUACUACCUGAUAUGAGCUCCUGCUGUAUGGUGGGGGUUGGAAAGUUUCGGCGGUUGGGGAUGGACUCGCGGCUUAUCAGCUUGCUGGUGGGGUAGUGGCUUACCAAGGCUUCGACGGGUAGCCGGCCUGAGAGGGUGACCGGCGACAUUGGGACGGAGAUACGGGCCAGAAGCCUACGGGAGGCAGAAGUGGGGAAUAUUGCACAAUGGGCGGAAGCCUGAUGCAGCAACGCCGCGUGCGGGAUGACGGCCUUCGGGUGGUAAACCGCUUGCGCCUGUGACGAAGCGUGAGUGACGGUAAUGGGUAAAGAAGCACCGGCUAACUACGUG